CAGCAGUAGCCGCGGGAAUACAGAGGGUGCGAGCGUUAAUCGGAUUUACUGGGCGUAAAGCGUGCGUAGGCGGCUUUUUAAGUCGGAUGUGAAAUCCCUGAGCUUAACUUAGGAAUUGCAUUCGAUACUGGGAAGCUAGAGUAUGGGAGAGGAUGGUAGAAUUCCAGGUGUAGCGGUGAAAUGCGUAGAGAUCUGGAGGAAUACCGAUGGCGAAGGCAGCCAUCUGGCCUAAUACUGACGCUGAGGUACGAAAGCAUGGGGAGCAAACAGGAUUAGAUACCCCAGUAGUCCCUGUCUCUUAUAC
Molecule: ribosomal RNA, 304 nt
Filed under: uncultured bacterium
Lineage: Bacteria
Description: partial 16S ribosomal RNA
Rfam family: Bacterial small subunit ribosomal RNA
Source: RNAcentral